UACGGGGGGGGCAAGCGUUGUUCGGAAUUACUGGGCGUAAAGGGUUUGUAGGUGGCUCGCUAAGUCAGACGUGAAAUCCCUCAGCUUAACUGGGGAACUGCGUCUGAGACUGGCGAGCUUGAGUGCAGGAGAGGAACGCGGAAUUCCAGGUGUAGCGGUGAAAUGCGUAGAUAUCUGGAGGAACACCGGUGGCGAAGGCGGCGUUCUGGACUGCAACUGACGCUGAGACGCGAAAGCGUGGGGAGCGAACAGG
RNAcentral lists this ribosomal RNA (253 nucleotides) under uncultured bacterium. Its description in RNAcentral is "partial 16S ribosomal RNA". It matches the Rfam family "Bacterial small subunit ribosomal RNA", at positions 524 to 776 of the family's 1533-position model. The record is from RNAcentral.